AUUGAACGCUGGCGGCAUGCCUAACACAUGCAAGUCGAACGGCAGCACAGUAAAGAUUUCGGUCUUUAUGGGUGGCGAGUGGCGGACGGGUGAGUAAUGCGUAGGAAUCUGUCCUGGAGAGUGGGAUAACCCGAGGAAACUCGGGCUAAUACUGCAUGAUAUCGAGAGAUCAAAGGCAGGGGACCCUUCGGGGCCUUGCGCUCUAGGAUGAGCCUACGUCGGAUUAGCUAGUUGGAGGGGUAAAGGCCUACCAAGGCGACGAUCCGUAGCUGGUCUGAGAGGAUGACCAGCCACACUGGGCAUGAGACACGGCCCAGACUCCUACGGGAGGCAGCAGUGGGGAAUCUUGGACAAGAGGGGAAACCCUGAUCCAGCGAUGCCGGGUGUGUGAAGAAGGGCUUCGGGUUGUAAAGCACUUUAGUUGGGGAAGAAAAGUAAUGAGUGAAUAACUGAUUGCUCUGACGGUACCCAAAGAAUAAGCACCGGCUAACUCUGUGCCAGCCGCCGCAGUAA
Molecule: ribosomal RNA, 513 nt
Filed under: uncultured bacterium
Lineage: Bacteria
Description: partial 16S ribosomal RNA
Rfam family: Bacterial small subunit ribosomal RNA
Source: RNAcentral